UCCUUUUUACAAAUGUAUAUUAAAAUAUAUUAAAUAUUUCCAAAUUUCAAACCAUAAUGGCCACAUAAAUACUACAAAAUUUGAGUUGUGGGAUGGGUUUUUUUGAGCGCUACCAAAAAAGCACACAGGGCAGAGAUCAUUAUUUGAUUUUUUUAAAAAAGCUGUUUAAGAGCAACUAUUACAUUUGAAGGAUUAGAAGGCAUUACCGCUAACUCUGUUUAUAGUGUUUUGCCUUGUGAAACUGAUUUAAGAUUUUGGUUCCAGACAUUUUAUAGUUCAGUCUCUGGGAUUUAAUCUCAAUAAUGUGUUACACUUGCUAUUGUCCCAGUGAAUUUGUUGACAGACAGUAAUUGGGUCACUGCAUUGAAAUACCAAGUGUAGGCUUAGAAUUCUCUUUGCUGGUUGGCAUGACAACCAUAGUGGUCGAUUAAACAUGCGCAGAGAGGAGUCAGCAGCCUGUGGUUCUCAGAUACUGCAAAAGAGAGGGUAGAAAUGUUAAAGAAUGUUCCUUUAAAGAAUACAUAGGCAGAGAAUUCCAGUAGCAUCUGUUGUUUGUUAAAAAAAAAAGGGGCGGGGGGGGGGAGAUUGUGCAAACUGAAACGAGACAGAAAGACAAUUAAAGCCUGACUAUGUUUCAUUGAAUCUGAAACUUAAAGCACCCCCCAAUGAAUAAUAAAUCAUCGCAAAAAGAAAAUUAAAAUCAUUUGACAAAGUCAAUGUCUGCAGGGGAAAGAAAAGAUAAUUUCUUAUGCUCUGCUGAGUGCAGUUCAAAACCAAGUUAUGAAACAAACAGAAAUGACCAAUCUCCAUGCAGAUCAACUCCACUGCAUGUAGAUGUCAUUGGGUCAGUAUGUUUACACCGAUGUGAAUUGUUUGCAAUGCACUUCAAAGGUAAUAUUGCCUUCGUAGCAGUUAGAAUACCACAUCUACACUUACUGCAGUGUCUAGUGAGGUGUCCAGUGUGGCAUUUGCUGCAACGUCUUUGGAUCAGUUUUGCCUGAGGCGGCCUGAUGUCAUAGGCAGGGUCCUUGUGACAACAUGGCCAGCCAUGUAUCUCCCCAAGUGGGUCUAGGAUCAAUGCAUUUUUGUGGGCGGUGAUCCAGUCACUCCCAUUGGUAUGUGACAACUACCACCUGGUCACAAUUAACCCUCCCCCUUUAGGGAAAGUGAUUUAAGAGGCUAUCAGGAGAAGGCCAGGGUGAAUAUGAUCCUGUUAUUCUUACAUGAUAUCUCAACAGCUUUUUAGGAUGGGUAUUGGUGAAGGCAUUGUUUCCCAGUGGUUCUGAUCCUAUUUCCAGGUUAGGUUCCAGAGAAUAGAAUUGGGUGAUUGUCUCCUUAUCAGUGGGGUGCCUUAGAGUACCAUCUUGUCCCCAAUGCCAUUUGACAUCUACACAAAGCCAUUGAGAACAGUCAUUAAGAGAUUUGGGGUGAGGUCAUCAAUACACUGAUGAUGCCCAGCUCUACUUCUCUGUAGCAUCUGAAUUGGGAUAGGCCAUGUAGGCACUAGACUUGGACCUGAAGUUGGUGGUGGGCGGGAAGAGGGCCAAUAAACUGACUCUGAAUCCUGACAAGAUGGCGAUUCUGUGGGGUAGAUGGUUCCCAAGUCUUGAUAAUUGGUCAAUUGCCUGCUUUGGAUGGGGCUGUACCCCCUCUGAAAGAGCAGGUUUGUAGUCCGGGGGUGUUCCUUGACCCAUCUUUGUCUCUGGAAUAUCAGGUGACUUCAGCAACUUGGAGUGUCUUCUAUCAGCUUAGGCUGGUAUGAGAAUUACAGGCAUUUAUGGACCUGGAUCACCUGACCACUGUUAUCCAUGCACAGGUAGCCUGAAGGCUGAAUGACUGCAAUGCACUCUAUGUCCUUGAGGUUGGUUUGGAAGCUGCAGCAGGUGCAAAAUGUAGCAGCUCAGCUGCUUCCUGGGGAAGUAUAUUGCUAACACUUCACCUCCCUGUUGAAAUAAUUGUGUUGGCUGCCAGUUAGCUACCAGGCUAAGGGGCUGUUUUUUGGUGCAUGCAGUUUGGGACCAGGAUACCCGAAAGAUUGUUUCACCCCUUAUGUACCCAGUCAAUCUCUGGGAAGGUGUGGGCCUCUUCUCAUGAUUUCUGUUUUGUACAAUACGGAAUUGGGGGCCUUUAGUGUUCUACACACAAACACCCCGUGUGUUAUAAAAAAGAGCACUCUGUUUUUCAGAGGUAGGCAUUGUAUCAGACAAGACUCAGGGACAGGCACAAGCAACUUGAUAUCUUGCUUGGGAUAGCCACAUUAUAAGGGGCAUCAGUAAAACAUGCAGUCAGAGAUGCAUAUUAGAAUCCUUUGCGGUGUCAGAGAAAAUGCCAAGCAUACCUUGCCUCUGCAACAUAUCUAGUGGUAAUGGGACACACCUUGGAUUCCUUAACACAACUGGUUGGGGCAGCCCCAUGGUUUUCAUAGAAUCAUAGAGUUGGAAGAGACCACAAGGGCCAUCGAGUCCAACCCCCUGCCAAGCAGGAAACACCAUCAGAGCACUCCUGACAUAUGGUUGUCAAGCCUCUGCUUAAAGACCUUCAAAGAAGGAGACUCCACCACACUCCUUGGCAGCAAAUUCCACUGUCGAACAGCUCUUACUGUCAGGAAGUUCUUCCUAAUGUUUAGGUGGAAUCUUCUUUCUUGUAGUUUGGAUCCAUUGCUCCGUGUCCGCUUCUCUGGAGCAGCAGAAAACAACCUUUCUCCCUCCUCUAUGUGACAUCCUUUUAUAUAUUUGAACAUGGCUAUCAUAUCACCCCUUAACCUCCUCUUCUCCAGGCUAAACAUGCCCAGCUCCCUUAGCCGUUCCUCAUAAGGCAUCUUUUCCAGGCCUUUGACCAUUUUGGUUGCCCUCCUCUGGACACGUUCCAGUUUGUCAGUGUCCUUCUUGAACUGUGGUGCCCAGAACUGGACACAGUACUCCAGGUGAGGUCUGACCAGAGCAGAAUACAGUGGCACUAUUACUUCCCUUGAUCUAGACGCUAUACUCCUAUUGAUGCAGCCCAGAAUUGCAUUGGCUUUUUUAGCUGCCACGUCACACUGUUGGCUCAUGUCAAGUUUGUGGUCAACCAAGACUCCUAGAUCCUUUUCACAUGUACUGCUCUCAAGCCAGGUGUCACCCAUCUUGUAUUUGUGCCUCUCAUUUUUUUUGCCCAAGUGCAAGACUUUACAUUUCUCCCUGUUAAAAUUCAUCUUGUUUGUUUUGUUUUGGGACAACCCUGACUAGAAUCAUGGGAGCUAAUGUGGUGUAGUGCUUAGAGUAAGGUUACCAGAUGUCCCUGUUUCCUGGGGACAGUCCCCGGCUUUACAAAUAAAUCCCCUGACAAAAUCCAUCUAUUUAGUAGGAAGUUGAAAAGUGUUCCUGGAUUCAUUGAAAAAAAUCUGGUAACCUUAGCUUAGAGAGCUGUACUGGGACCUGGGAUACCAGUGUUCACAUCCCCAUUGGCCAUGAAGUUCAGUGGGUGAUAACAUGACAAAGGGGAAAACCAUUUAUGUCACCUCGAGCUCCUUUGAGGAAAAUGUAAUAACAACUAACUAAAACAAAUUUCUAGUAUGUUAGGUUUCUUUCUUCACUGGUCAUGUAUGAAAACAGGUCUAUCAUUUCCUUAGUUAUUUAAAAAUGUAAAUGUACUUGGGUUUUUGCAAUAAGUAUACAGAGGAGAAAUAACAAAUGGUUUUGUAUCUCUCAUUCAAGCAUCAUGAUGUCAUAGUUUAAUCUAUCUGCCUGUGGAUUGGCUCACGCUGAUGGAAGCAGACAACAGUGCUAACAAAUGAGUUAAAUUGCUAUUAUGGGUCUUUAAUAAAAAGAAACCAUGUGGUUAAUGAGAGAACUGGCUCUUUUCAGAUUAGCUAUUUACCUCUGUUGUUAACAUUGUAAGAUAAUAUAAUAAAUGUAGCACGUUGCACCUUGUAUACAGUGAUUUGGUGCCUAUUUUGGUUCAGCAACUGAUAGUGUAGCAGAGUAAAGAUGCAAGACUAGCUCAUGGGACCGCUACUUAUCUGCAUAGUUUGCAACAACAUAAACCAAUAUGAGUGCAGAUGAAAGUUUUUAUGUAGAAUAAAAUGGAAAUCUGUGAACAGGCAGAAGAUCUCUGUGCCAGUCUUUCCCCUACUCCAAAACAAACAAGCAACACAAUGUGAGUAUAAGAUACUGCAGUUAAUUAAAUUGUUAAAUGUGACCUCUUCUGCUUUGAAUAGUGUGUGCGGAUAAGGAAAUUUGGCCAUAUGCUGGUGGUUACAUGUACACCCUGAGGUCAUUCCUUGGUAUGAAUUGUUAGUAACUCAAGUAAUCUGAGCUGACUUCUAUAUUGACACGAAGUGGUGUAAUUCAGACCAGACUCACAAAUUUGUUACAUUGUGGGGAUUAUUAUGUAUUGUAUCCCCUGCAGAAUUUUGCAGUAAACUGCAAAUAAUGCUUAAAAUAAAGAAUGUUUCCCAAUAUAUUGAGGAAACACAAAAUGGUCUUGCAGAAAUCUCAUUUAAAUAGCAACAGUAAUUUGAACCUAUUUUAUAUAUGCACUGCAUCCACAGGAUCUAGUUUGCUUAGAAGUACUCUUGAGAUUUGCUUUGUAAUUUAAGAGGUCAUUUUACAAAUGCUUCAAAACACAGCAUUGUUCAUUUAUCUUCCAUGUGUUGCUUUUUCAGUUAGCAAAGAGUAUCAGUGAGCAAGAAGAAGAAAUGCUAUAUCAAUAUGUUUGUGCCUAUACUGUUCUACCAUUUUGAUGUUCUCUUAUAUUAUAAUGUCCAUGCAGUAGCAUAAAGGGGUUGACUUGAAACCAGACUACUUGGUAUUCCAGUGGUGUUUACCAUUAGAUUGCAGCUUUGAAUGGAGUUUUACCAGAAUAUAGUUUCAGACAUAUUUUUAUUAAAUAUUAUUAGGAAAAAACAUUUUGCAUAUCUGACAUCAGGCUCGAAUCUUGCUUUUGAUUUAAAUGAAAAGUUACUGAGUUAGUCUGGUUAUUUUAAAGUGUUGUAAACUUAUUUUUUUUUUAAAUGAUAUUUAUUGAAAGUUUUAAGAUUAC
This 5019-nucleotide long non-coding RNA is filed under the name Podarcis lilfordi (Lilford's wall lizard). The record is from RNAcentral. Lineage: Eukaryota; Metazoa; Chordata; Lepidosauria; Squamata; Lacertidae.